CACGUAGGGGGCAAGCGUUGUCCGGAUUUAUUGGGCGUAAAGAGCUCGUAGGCGGCUCAGUAAGUCAGGUGUGAAACCUCCAGGCUCAACCUGGAGACGCCACCUGAUACUGCUGUGGCUAGAGUCCGGUAGGGGAGCGUGGAAUUCAUGGUGUAGCGGUGAAAUGCGCAGAUAUCAGGAGGAACACCAGCGGCGAAGGCGGCGCUCUGGGCCGGAACUGACGCUGAGGAGCGAAAGCGUGGGUAGCAAACAGG
This 254-nucleotide ribosomal RNA is filed under the name uncultured bacterium. Its description in RNAcentral is "partial 16S ribosomal RNA". It matches the Rfam family "Bacterial small subunit ribosomal RNA", at positions 524 to 776 of the family's 1533-position model. The record is from RNAcentral.